Chinchilla lanigera (long-tailed chinchilla) is the source of this 711-nucleotide long non-coding RNA. RefSeq lists it as uncharacterized. The transcript has 3 exons. NCBI's taxonomy places the organism in Eukaryota, Metazoa, Chordata, Mammalia, Rodentia, Chinchillidae. The record is from RefSeq and is a predicted model, not a curated record.
ACUGGACAGAAAUGGCAUUUGGGAGAGCUAAGAUAUAGUAAUUUUUGACUUUCCAAGAAUUCAGUUCAAGCUAUCUGUAUGUUUCUCAAGUGCUAAAAUCACAGUCUGUACUGACUGGACUAAAUAACAUCAAUACACAUUUAUUAUUUUUUGUAGGCUAUCAUGUAAACAAAUAGAUAACCAAGUACCACUGUUCUCAUGUUCUGUGUGAAUUCCCACCUAUUCUCCUUUAAUCCUCAUAGGGUAUUUUCCCUAUUUUAUGUUGAGUAGACACAUUAGAUUGAUGAAGUAACUCACCGUUUGGCACUGUAUUCAUUCCUAGAGAGAAAGUCUGGAAUACCAUAGUAAACACAAUUCUGAAACUUCAUGUUACAACUUGAAGUCUUAUAAAGAUUAUUCCUCUACAAGCCAGGCGGAAUAUACAUAAUUUGGGAAUUAAAGCUGGCCUUGAACUCCUCGGCUCAAAGUGAUCCUGUUUGCUGUACCCUCUGCAGUACCUGGGACUAUAGAUACAGAAACUGAGAUGUAGCAUUUCUUGGGAAAGAGUGGACUCCAGCAGGUUGAGGCUAGAAUCUUCAUCUCUAGUCUCUUGUUUCAAGAAUCAAGAGCUGUCUUUUCAUUUUUAUAGCUGUUUUAUGAAUAUAGGUCCUGAAACAAGAGCUCCACAAUUAUAUAUCAACCAAACCAAAGAUAAACAUACGGUAGAAUGAU